Molecule: unclassified non-coding RNA, 685 nt
Filed under: Homo sapiens (human)
Lineage: Eukaryota; Metazoa; Chordata; Mammalia; Primates; Hominidae
Description: ribosomal protein S18 (ENSG00000226225.6)
Source: RNAcentral
CACGCCGCCGCUUGUGCUGCAGCCAUGUCUCUAGUGAUCCCUGAAAAGUUCCAGCAUAUUUUGCGAGUACUCAACACCAACAUCGAUGGGCGGCGGAAAAUAGCCUUUGCCAUCACUGCCAUUAAGUAGAGACAGGGUUUCACCAUGUUGGCCAGGCUGGUUUUGAACUCCUGCCCUCAAUGUCAUCUGCCCACUUGGGCCUCCCAAAGUGCUGGGAUUACAGGCGUGAGCCACUGCGACCGGCCCAAAGUUAACCUUCUGUCGAACGGUUUAUAUCUGGAAAGGGUGUGGGCCGAAGAUAUGCUCAUGUGGUGUUGAGGAAAGCAGACAUUGACCUCACCAAGAGGGCGGGAGAACUCACUGAGGAUGAGGUGGAACGUGUGAUCACCAUUAUGCAGAAUCCACGCCAGUACAAGAUCCCAGACUGGUUCUUGAACAGACAGAAGGAUGUAAAGGAUGGAAAAUACAGCCAGGUCCUAGCCAAUGGUCUGGACAACAAGCUCCGUGAAGACCUGGAGCGACUGAAGAAGAUUCGGGCCCAUAGAGGGCUGCGUCACUUCUGGGGCCUUCGUGUCCGAGGCCAGCACACCAAGACCACUGGCCGCCGUGGCCGCACCGUGGGUGUGUCCAAGAAGAAAUAAGUCUGUAGGCCUUGUCUGUUAAUAAAUAGUUUAUAUACCUAUGG